UUUUGGCUCUUCUUUUUAAGUCGUUAGAGAACUUAGCUGGCAUUUCAUAGUGCCUAUGCUACUGACAUAGUAUAAUAGUUUAUAACUAUGCUACUGGAUUGUCAUCCUUCUGUCCAUGAGGCUGGAUCUGGAGGGCAAUUCAUGGUGGGUUAAUCCUCCAUUGCACUAGCAUUUGCAUGUGCGUCCUGAUCAGUAGUUCAUGGUGUUUUAAGGUGACUGGUUUGGAAACACGUUGGAUCACUUCAUUGUUAAUCAGACUGGUGGCAUGCUGUCUAAUGAAAGCUGUGCUUUCUAUAUAUUAAAGGUGCCAUUAUGCAUUUGCAAUAGUUUUUCUUUUAAACAUGUGAUGACUAACUAGGAUUACAAUGACAGGGUUGGGUGAAGGAGGUACCUGGUAGUUAAGCUCCGGUUUUUCACUAUGAUUUUGGUGAAUUUGGUGAAGUGGCAGUACCAAUUGAGACCGCAGGGAGAUGAAAAAUGUUGUGUUCAUCCUAAUUCUGCAGGCACCAGAGGUGCUCUUGUAUCAGGAGUUGAUGGUCGAAUUGGGACGUUAUUAACGCGGGGCUAGCAUGUUCGACGUCUUCUACUGUUGGAUCAUGAUAUAUUGGCGUGGAAUUUUCGGAAUUGGUUGGUUAAAUCCAUUGGAUCAUUCAGUUUAGUUGCCAUUCUUCGUUCUACCUACUUUAAAGUAAUGGAUGGUGGUUUUGUAUUGUUGGGUUGCAACACCUUUGCCUAAGAUUUCCGCCUGACUUGUGUCUUGAUCCCUGGUAAAAUUUGCAGUUCGUUGCAGUGGGUUUGCCAUUGAGAGAUGGUUUUGUGUCAUCGAUUAUUUCUAUUUGGGACAAUAUUGGCGCGGCGAUAACAUAUUCGAUGUCUUCUACUAUGGGAUUAUGGGUGCUUUUGGUGUGGCCGGUUUCCUAGCUGGAAUCUUUUCUUCGCUGGUUCAACCGUUAGAUAGUGUAAUGGUUGGCAAAUCUUAAUGGAUGAUCCUGUUUUGUGGCUCUUCUGUGCUCUACAGAUAUCCGCUCAGAUUUGGUUUGGAUACAAGGUAAAAAUUGCAGUUCGUUGCUGUAGUUUUGUGGCUGUGAGGUGGUUUGUUUCGGCAAUUAUGGUUGAUUUAUUGGAAAUCGGUGUUGUGUUAUGUUCAACGUCUUUUACUAUGGGAUUAUGGUAAUGGAUCUUCAAUGCGGUAGUGUAUAUUAUCCGUAAUGAUGAAAAUGAGUUACCGUUUGAAGAUCGUGAAACUAUUAUUUUGGCUGUAAAUUACUGACAUCUAGAAUCUUAACUUAAUCUCUUAAUAUGAGAUUGACUUAGUUAACCAACUGACUUGGAUGUUUUCAGGGGGCUCUUGCUAUGGCCGUUUUUCCAGCUGGAAUUUCUUCUUCGAUUCUUCGCUGGCGCUAUUGUUCAUACGGCUAUACUUGAGAUUGGUUAGUGAAACCCAAUGGAUGAUCCAGUUUUAUGGCAGUUCUGCGGUCUACAAGUGAGAUAGUAAAUUAAUUAUGGCUUAAUUGUUGUAGUGUUUGAGACAUAGGGUUUUCUGUGAGCUUUCCUAGUGCUAGAGGAUUUUAUACAUUAAAGGGGCUUUUUAUGCUUGUUUCCAUAAUGGGUAUGGUUUUCUAUCAACUAAGUUGGGUCUAUUUUCUUGUACAUAGUUUUCCGUCGUAUAUAAGUAGUGUAAACAGUAUUUUCAUUCUUUAUGUAAAACGUACGUUUAGGUAUAACCUGUUGUAGUACUUUUUGCUUGCGCAAUUUUCUCCCUCCUAUUGAUCACGUUGUUUGCAGGUGUGUUGUGUGUAUCUGCAAUAUUUGAUAUUCCUUGAAAAUGGCAAAUUUUGUGACAAUCGAGUCUGGUUUCAAAUAAAUAAAACAUUCAUAUGGAAAA
Molecule: long non-coding RNA, 1885 nt
Organism: Daphnia magna
Lineage: Eukaryota; Metazoa; Arthropoda; Branchiopoda; Diplostraca; Daphniidae
Exons: 12
Source: RefSeq, a predicted model, not a curated record